GGUACUGGAUAACAGGCAGGGAAUGAAAAAGUUAUUUUAUUAAUAACAUAGCAAAAAGGCAGGAAAAGGGUAGAUUCCUCUCUAAAAGCUCCAGACUGUGUUGUUUAUUAAUUCAGAACAGUGUUUCAGUUUCACUAUUCAUGUUAUCAAAAAUUCCAACAUUGUGUUGAGUGCAAUCUCAUGUUAGAGUGAUAAUGGGACGGAAAGUACAGGAGAGGUGAAUAGAAGGUGCGUAGCAUAAACUAUUCACCAGAGAGCACGAGACAGGUGGAAAGCGAAUGAGAGAAAGCAGUGUUCCUGCAUUUCCAUACCUCUAUCCACUAGUGACAACACCCAAAACAGAUGCACUCUACAUUUUAACAGUUUGUCGAAGAAGCUUUUGUUUGCUUCAUUGUAUUUUUCUCUUUUGGCUUGUUUUUUUUUUUUUUUUUUACACCCUUCCUUUCACAUCAGUUCUUUACUCUGGAGGCUUCCUUACUGCUCACAAACAACAACUGUCUCCCACUCGGCUCUGUUUGAUGACCUACAUUACAUUCUCUUUGCAUGAAGGUACAGCGGGCUUACAUGUUCUGUGUGCAUAAACUGCGGUGUAAAUGACUUGAACAAAAGGGUGGAGCGGCCGUAUGGGGAUGGAAAUGAAAGCACGUAGCACUGUAGAGGACACACUGCAUCAAGAGAGUUUGGUGUAGUCUAAACACCACCACGGAAGAUUUGUGCCACUGAUCAUGGCUUGUGUUGGUGCAACGUGUGUGUCAACUUGUUUCAUAUUCAUGUGUGUGAAGGAAAAGCUUGGGACACGUGCACUCGUCAUCCUUUACAAGUUUGUCCCCUCGCACGUGAAACCUAGCCAGCACUCCUUUGGGGCCAGCUAGCAGCCAAAUGGUUUGACAAGCUGCAUGUCAAAAACAAUCCGUAGCUGUAAAGUACAGCUUCUACCUUUGGGGUCGGGUGUGGGAACUUCCAAUCAUUGCACAUCUGUAGAUAUUAUUCACAGAAAAUCAUCCCAAAUAUGUUUCAUAUGGCUGGAUGGUGCACACAUUGUACAUCGUUUGAUCAUAAAACAAGACCACAUAGUGGCGAAAUCAUAUACUUACUUCUAUUGUAC
This is a long non-coding RNA of Astatotilapia calliptera (eastern happy), 1105 nucleotides long. The record is from Ensembl. NCBI's taxonomy places the organism in Eukaryota, Metazoa, Chordata, Actinopteri, Cichliformes, Cichlidae.